AUGAGUUGCUUGUUUUGGAACUGUCGAGGGGUGGGGAACUCUCGUACAGUUCGUGACCUUCAGGCUCUUUGUCAAGCCCAUUCCCCGAAGCUUGUGUUUUUAUGUGAAACUAGACAACCAAAGCAGAAAAUGGAGAGAGCACGCAACAGACUUGGCCUCAAGGGUUUUGAUGGUGUAAGUAGUCAGGGAAAGAGUGGUGGCUUAGCCUUAUAUUGGGAUGAAACCGUGUCGGUCAACAUACAGGAUAUAAAUGAAAGAUGGAUUGAUGCUUUCGUUAGACUGUCUAAUGAUGAACCGAUGUGGCGGGUGACUUUUGUUUAUGGAGAACCAAGAGUUGAAAACAGACAUCUCAUGUGGGAGAGUUUAUGCAGACUAAGAGAGGCACGUCAGAUAUACCAUGGCUGGUGGCCAAGGAUUUCAACGAGGCUAUGUGGGACUUUGAGCACUUGUCCUCGACCCCUCGCCCCCGGAAUCAGAUGGUCGCAUUUAGGGAAUGCUUAG
This 501-nucleotide ribosomal RNA is filed under the name Triticum aestivum (bread wheat). RNAcentral describes it as "partial small subunit ribosomal RNA". Lineage: Eukaryota; Viridiplantae; Streptophyta; Magnoliopsida; Poales; Poaceae. The record is from RNAcentral.